CGGGGUGAGUAAUGUCUGGGAAACUGCCUGAUGGAGGGGGGUAACUACUGGAAACGGUAGCUAAUACCGCAUAACGUCGCAAGACCAAAGAGGGGGACCUUCGGGCCUCUUGCCAUCGGAUGUGCCCAGAUGGGAUUAGCUAGUAGGUGGGGUAACGGCUCACCUAGGCGACGAUCUCUAGCUGGUCUGAGAGGAUGACCAGCCACACUGGAACUGAGACACGGUCCAG
This 229-nucleotide ribosomal RNA is filed under the name uncultured bacterium. RNAcentral describes it as "partial 16S ribosomal RNA". It matches the Rfam family "Bacterial small subunit ribosomal RNA", at positions 104 to 334 of the family's 1533-position model. The record is from RNAcentral.